UGGCUCAGGACGAACGCUGGCGGCGUGCCUAAUACAUACACGUCGAGCGAGCGAAACUAACAGAUUUACUUCGGUAAUGACGUUAGGAAAGCGAGCGGCGGAUGGGUGAGUAACACGUGGGGAACCUGCCCCAUAGUCUGGGAUACCACUUGGAAACAGGUGCUAAUACCGGAUAAGAAAGCAGAUCGCAUGAUCAGCUUUUAAAAGGCGGCGUAAGCUGUCGCUAUGGGAUGGCCCCGCGGUGCAUUAGCUAGUUGGUAAGGUAAAGGCUUACCGAGGCGAUGAUGCAUAGCCGAGUUGAGAGACUGAUCGGCCACAUUGGGACUGAGACACGGCCCAAACUCCUACGGGAGGCAGCAGUAGGGAAUCUUCCACAAUGGACGCAAGUCUGAUGGAGCAACGCCGCGUGAGUGAAGAAGGUUUUCGGAUCGUAAAGCUCUGUUGUUGGUGAAGAAGGAUAGAAGUAGUAACUGGCCUUUAUUUGACGGUAAUCAACCAGAAAGUCACGGCUAACUACGUGCCAGCAGCCGCGGUAAUACGUAGGUGGCAAGCGUUGUCCGGAUUUAUUGGGCGUAAAGCGAGCGCAGGCGGAAGAAUAAGUCUGAUGUGAAAGCCCUCGGCUUAACCGAGGAACUGCAUCGGAAACUGUUUUUCUUGAGUGCAGAAGAGGAGAGUGGAACUCCAUGUGUAGCGGUGGAAUGCGUAGAUAUAUGGAAGAACACCAGUGGCGAAGGCGGCUCUCUGGUCUGCAACUGACGCUGAGGCUCGAAAGCAUGGGUAGUGAACAGGAUUAGAUACCCUGGUAGUCCAUGCCGUAAACGAUGAGUGCUAAGUGUUGGGAGGUUUCCGCCUCUCAGUGCUGCAGCUAACGCAUUAAGCACUCCGCCUGGGGAGUACGACCGCAAGGUG
This 909-nucleotide ribosomal RNA is filed under the name Lactobacillus crispatus. Its description in RNAcentral is "bacterial SSU rRNA". It matches the Rfam family "Bacterial small subunit ribosomal RNA", at positions 20 to 895 of the family's 1533-position model. Lineage: Bacteria; Bacillati; Bacillota; Bacilli; Lactobacillales; Lactobacillaceae. The record is from RNAcentral.